UACAGAGGGUGCGAGCGUUGUUCGGAAUUAUUGGGCGUAAAGCGCUUGUAGGCGGCACGUCAAGUCGCGUGUGAAAUCCCCAGGCUUAACCUGGGAAGUGCGCGCGAAACUGACGAGCUUGAGUGCCGGAGAGGGUCGCGGAAUUCCCGGUGUAGAGGUGAAAUUCGUAGAUAUCGGGAGGAACACCGGUGGCGAAGGCGGUCUGCUGGGGUCGAACUGACGCUGAGGCGCGACAGCGUGGGGAGCAAACAGG
RNAcentral lists this ribosomal RNA (253 nucleotides) under uncultured bacterium. RNAcentral's name for it is "partial 16S ribosomal RNA". It matches the Rfam family "Bacterial small subunit ribosomal RNA", at positions 524 to 776 of the family's 1533-position model. The record is from RNAcentral.